Molecule: ribosomal RNA, 254 nt
Filed under: uncultured bacterium
Lineage: Bacteria
Description: partial 16S ribosomal RNA
Rfam family: Bacterial small subunit ribosomal RNA
Source: RNAcentral
UACGUAGGGGGCAAGCGUUGUCCGGAUUUAUUGGGCGUAAAGAGCUCGUAGGUGGUUCGGUAAGUCGGAUGUGAAAUCUCCAGGCUCAACCUGGAGGGGUCAUUCGAUACUGCCGUGACUAGAGGUCGGUAGGGGAGUGUGGAAUUCCUGGUGGAGCGGUGAAAUGCGCAGAUAUCAGGAGGAACACCCGUAGCGAAGGCGGCACUCUGGGCCGAUACUGACACUGAGGAGCGAAAGCGUGGAGAGCGAACAGG